Molecule: ribosomal RNA, 253 nt
Filed under: uncultured bacterium
Lineage: Bacteria
Description: partial 16S ribosomal RNA
Rfam family: Bacterial small subunit ribosomal RNA
Source: RNAcentral
UACAGAGGUGGCAAGCGUUGUUCGGAAUUACUGGGCGUAAAGGGCGCGUAGGCGGUUCGUUAAGUCCUGUGUGAAAUCCCCCGGCUCAACUGGGGAACUGCACAGGAAACUAGCGGGCUUGAGUUCGGGAGAGGGAAGCGGAAUUCCGGGUGUAGCGGUGAAAUGCGUAGAUAUCCGGAGGAACACCGGUGGCGAAGGCGGCUUCCUGGACCGAGACUGACGCUGAGGCGCGAAAGCUAGGGGAGCAAACGGG